Molecule: ribosomal RNA, 253 nt
Filed under: uncultured bacterium
Lineage: Bacteria
Description: partial 16S ribosomal RNA
Rfam family: Bacterial small subunit ribosomal RNA
Source: RNAcentral
UACAGAGGUCUCAAGCGUUGUUCGGAUUCAUUGGGCGUAAAGGGUGCGUAGGCGGCGCGGUAAGUCGGGUGUGAAAUCUUGGAGCUUAACUCCGAAACUGCAUUCGAUACUGCCGUGCUUGAGACCGGGAGAGGUGAGUGGAAUUCCCAGUGUAGCGGUGAAAUGCGUAGAUAUUGGGAGGAACACCAGUGGCGAAGGCGGCUCACUGGACCGGUACUGACGCUGAGGCGCGAAAGCGUGGGGAGCAAACGGG